GAUGAACGCUGGCGGCGUGCCUAAUACAUGCAAGUCGAGCGAACGGACGAGAAGCUUGUUUCUCUGAUGUUAGCGGCGGACGGGUGAGUAACACGUGGAUAACCGACCUAUAAGACUGGGAUAACUUCGGGAAACCGGAGCUAAUACCGGAUAAUAUUUAGAACCGCAUGGUUCAAAAGUGAAAGACGGUCUUGCUGUCCCUUAUAGAUGGACCCGGGCUGCAUUAGCUGGUUGGUAAGGUAACGGCUUACCAAGGCAACGAGGCAUAGCAGACCUGAGAGGGUGAUCGGCCGCACUGGAGCGGAGACGCGCUCCCGACUCCUGCGGGAGGCACCAGUCGGGAACCUUCCGCAGUGGGCGGAAGCCUGUCGGAGCAACGCCGCGUGAGUGAUGAAGGUCUUCGGAUCGUAAAACUCUGUUAUUAGCGAAGAACAUAUGUGUAAGUAACUGUGCACAUCUUGACGGUACCUAAUCAGAAAGCCACGGCUAACUACGUG
RNAcentral lists this ribosomal RNA (497 nucleotides) under uncultured bacterium. Its description in RNAcentral is "partial 16S ribosomal RNA". It matches the Rfam family "Bacterial small subunit ribosomal RNA", at positions 28 to 507 of the family's 1533-position model. The record is from RNAcentral.